UACAGAGGGUGCAAGCGUUAAUCGGAAUUACUGGGCGUAAAGCGCGCGUAGGCGGCUAAACAAGUUGGGUGUGAAAGCCCCGGGCUUAACCUGGGAACGGCACUCAAAACUGUUUGGCUAGAGUACAGCAGAGGUAAGUGGAAUUUCCGGUGUAGCAGUGAAAUGCGUAGAGAUCGGAAGGAACACCAGUGGCGAAGGCGGCUUACUGGGCUGAUACUGACGCUGAGGCGCGAAGGCGUGGGGAGCAAACAGG
RNAcentral lists this ribosomal RNA (253 nucleotides) under uncultured Saccharospirillum sp. RNAcentral describes it as "partial 16S ribosomal RNA". It matches the Rfam family "Bacterial small subunit ribosomal RNA", at positions 524 to 776 of the family's 1533-position model. The record is from RNAcentral. Lineage: Bacteria; Pseudomonadati; Pseudomonadota; Gammaproteobacteria; Oceanospirillales; Saccharospirillaceae.